GGCAGGGAAAGGGGCGGAAGAGAAGACACAAAGACCAAAUGGGCGACCGCAAGUCUUACUCUCGCCGGCGUUACAAAGGUACCGGCCUUUGACCUCUCCUUGAAUUAAUGUGAUCCGAUUCAUCUUCCCUCCAAGUUUUUUUUUUAAUUUAAUUACCCCUCCCUGCCCUGGCCCUGCCAGCUUCAGCUCCACCUCCUUGGAGGAAGCAGGCGCUUUUACAGAGCGCCGCGCGGCAGGUCCCCUUUCAGCCAAUCACAUCUGCGGAACCGCGUUCCGAGUCGUUUGAGGGUGUCUGGUAAAGCAAGCUCGGGGCGGUGUUGGAAAUCUGAAUGUCACCCGCGGUCCGGAGCAGAUAGGAUGGGCUGGGAAGGUACCCGCGAACUGCCGCCGGAAUUCGCUGGCAGCUGUGCGAGGCUCAGAUUAUUUAAAUUUUCCACAAAUUUCUACGGAUUAAUUCAAUGGCAGCUCACUUUCUCCUUUUAUGAUCGGAUGGGUCCGAAAGUGAGGAAAAAGACAAUUGUCUACAAAGAAAGAGGCUGCCAAGUGGAGACAGAAAAGCAGUUAUGAGACUGAUGAUAGAUUCCAAUUUGUUAUCGAAAGGAAGGAGGAGACCUGAACAGUACAUCCGGAGAAUCCAGCAAAGCAUACUACGGCAUGAACGUGCAAGUGGACAGAAUUAAAACACAUGCCAGAAACACUAAUGGAUUCUAAACAAGAUGCAGUUUCAUUUCCUGAGCCUAUACGUGAUGUUUUUAACUGUUCUCCAGUUAAUAUGUCUCCAUUUCCAGAAAUCUAACAGGAGAAUCUCUGACUGCUUAACAGAUCACCUAAGCUUGCGAUUUGUGCAAUCCUUUCUAGAGUAAGGGCUCCCCGGCUGCUCCCCGGCCACUGUGUACCCAAAGCAGCGGCUGAAAUAGCCCGGAGUCCAACAGCUCAGCGUCAAGCAGCUCGUGGCAAACGCAGCCGCCGGUCUUGACUGCCAUCGCCCAAGGGGUUCCUCUGGGCUCUCCCGCGAGCCAACAGCCGACCUCUCUCCAGCCUAGUCUGGGAAACUCCAGCCAACCCAGGAUCCCAUUUUGUAGUCCCGGGCAGACCCGAAACCCCUGAAAGAACUCCACUCCAGAAGACGCCAGAACAAGUUCCCACGAAUUUCAUGGGCGCCCUUCACAUGAAAACCUCAGCUCCCCUAUCCUCAAGGAACGGGGAAGGGCGCCGGGGAGGGACUUCGGUGGCCAGCUGUCCCUGGGUCGUGGGCGCUGUUUGCUCUGCGGAGCGCCAGCCCUGCACACAGCGGGUGCGGGAAGCGUUGAUGGGAGGCUGGAGGGCGGGGUGAGCGUAAACUAGGAUCUAGCCGGUUCCAGGCGUGGAGAAUCAAAUGUGGUCCUAGAUCUGUAAGUUGCGAAAAGGGGCUUUUGGGAGCGUCAGAGCUUUCUCACUCCGGUCCCCCGCCGCCUUGAGGCUGGCAGAUUUAUACCCCACAGGUGGAUGGAGACCUAAACAAAACAGUCCCGGCCGCUGCCUGCCGCUCGCCCCCCACGUCCCCCGGGCCCACCGCAAACUUCAACAAAAUAAACAACUCACCACAGGCAUUCCCUUGUCUGCAGCGCGACGCUUGCCAGCUGGGAAAAUAAGCCGCAAGCCACGCGGCCGAGGCGCGGAGGGA
Molecule: long non-coding RNA, 1663 nt
Filed under: Homo sapiens (human)
Lineage: Eukaryota; Metazoa; Chordata; Mammalia; Primates; Hominidae
Description: HSALNT0328495
Source: RNAcentral